RNAcentral lists this long non-coding RNA (10996 nucleotides) under Homo sapiens (human). RNAcentral's name for it is "HSALNT0273507". The record is from RNAcentral. Lineage: Eukaryota; Metazoa; Chordata; Mammalia; Primates; Hominidae.
UUCACAGAAGUCACUAGAGAAAAAGAGUAUUUAUGCAGGGCCUACAAGGAUGGGAAAGAUUUUGGCAGGGAGAAGCAGAGGGCUAAGGAGCUCUAGAAAGAUGAGUUUCCAAGUAUAAGCAAACUGAGGAAGCUGGAAAUGAGGAAAAUGGGGUGGUCAGCAUGGCUGAAGCUUGGGAAAUGCGGAGCGGAGUGGUGGCAAGUAAGCCACUGACAAAUUGCCGAGUUUCUUCAGAAGUAACGAGUGGGGCUUUUCUCUGUAGUAGCUGGGAACCAAAGAAAAUGUGUGCGUGGAGGCAGAGGCAGUCAGGGAUCUGAUCGGAAAGUUCAGUGUGCUGUCAGGGACGCCCAACACGAUGCCCUCCGUGUCUUCAUCUCUCCCUCUCCACCUCCUCAGUCCCUUUCCCUGGACUUCAUGGGAGCCUGUUGAGCUCAAAAGAUCCCCAAGAGCCAAGAUGCAAGCCUGCAGAUUUCAGGACAGCUGGUCCUGGCGCUGCUGGCUGCUCGCAAGGGCCGGGCCUCCUCAUUGCCGUCACCAGCCCCCGUUGGGCCUCAUCAGAGCAAGACCAGGCUCGGCUGAUGCUCGGCGCUGUAUUCCUUGACGCCUCCAUGAGGCUUGCUGCCCAGCAUGUCCCAGGCUUGCUGGAAAUGCUGAAGCUCAGGCUCACCUCAGACCCACGACUCAGAGUCUGUAUCUUUUCCAGAUCCUGGAGUGAUCGCAUGUGCACGUAUAAAUCGGAGAAGCUUUGGCUUCCAUAGCCUCUGCUGGCUGUAACUAAUCCUUCCUCACCCCAUACUGAGGGAAAAGAAAGAAGGGAAGGGAGGGAAAGGAAGGGAAGAGAAAGGAGAAGGAAGGACAGGGGGAGAGAGAGAGAGAGAAAGGGAAGGAAGGAAGGCAGGAAAGGAAAGAAGGAAGGAAGGAAGGGAGGAAGGGAGGGAAGGAGAAAGAGAAAGGAAGGAAGAACAGGAGGUUAGGAGAGAGGAAUGAAAGAAAGAGAAUGGGAGAGGGACAGAGGGAGGGAGAGAGAAUGAUUCUGUGAGUCUCUUAACUCUGGUCCUCCUGUUACACAUCUUUUCUUCUACUUUUCCUUUGUUUCACACUUAAGCUUUGAAGAUGUAAAGUAGGACCAGAGGGUGAGAAAUUCAAGAACCUUGAAAUAAAAGACCUUUCUGUUUGCUUUUCAUUUCCUAAAAAGGAAGUCCUCACUGACUGUUCCUGUAAGGGAUAUUAAGCUGUGUGGAUUGUGAGUGAUUCGUCACACAGCAAUUUGGAGCAGGAAGCACACGAAACCCUAGAGCUAGCCUGCACGCAACUAAUUGAAGCCCUCAAUUAAUCGGAUUGGCUUCCACCUUCAGGAGAAAAGCAAAUACUAAGAAAACAAAUUAGCACCUGGAAUUUAACAACUUCCCUUUUUUGGUGUGGGGGCGCAUUAUAUUCAGAGUACAUGAUAACUGAUGGCUCGUCUCAUAGGCACAGACAUCUUUACAAUCCUCUAAGGCAGAGUGGUGUGGUGGAAACGGAGUUGGCAGAGGCAUCAGAUCUGCCCGGGUUUCCAUCCCAGCUCCAGCAUGCAUGGGCCAUGUCGCUUGGCAAGCAGUCUCACCACUCAGAGCCUUGAUUUCAGGAUUAAAAAAAUAAUAACCUAUUCAACAGAAUCAUGGUCGAGAAGAUUAGGGGUUUGUGCAACUCCUCACCUGGUGGAUACUCAACCGGAAUGAGUUCUCUUUCUCAGUUCCUGCCUACAGAUCUAUAGACACUUAGCUUUAAAAGCUUUGAUUAUGGCCAGUUGCCUGGUCAACCUAAUACCAGCAGAGGAGUGUAUUUUCCCUACUAUGGUGGAACAGAGGUAAAGGUUUUCCAAGUUUGAAGCAAUCAUACAAACAAAAUAGGAGCCCAAAGACUUCUGCGGAGCUUUGGAAUGAGAGAUGCCCAUUCUGGUUUCAGAAACGCCAGCGCCAUCUCUUGGAGGAGCAUGAAAUUGUUUCCUUGGGCUGAAGAAGCAUCCAUGGGGCCCCAGAAAGCAAUGAUGUCUUCGGUGGUUGCAUCAAUGACCAAACAUGUAUAAUAAACUGCUUCUUUGAACUUGAGGACAUCUGAUUAAGAGAUAGAAAGCAAAACAAGCCUUCACAGAUGGUAAUAGUGCUGGGACACAUCACCUUUUGUGAAUAACUGAAGAGCAUAUAUUAAUAACAGAAAUCACAUUGGUGUGCCCUUACUGAGGAUCGACAAAGGAGAACACGUCUAUGUUUUGUGGAAACACGACUGAAGCCUUCAUCCAAUGACGUUGGCCGGCCCCGCUCUCCUCGUGCCAUCAAGCACUCUACGCUGACUCAGUAGAGCAGCACAGCCCUGUGUGUGGAGAGAUUCCCAUGCACCAUGGGAAGAGGGACCAAGCCUGGGCCCUGGAGGGCGCAGCCGGUGCAGUCUGCAGGAGGCUCUGUGUUUCAAUAACUGUGGUGUCCCCACACCCCAAGGGCCAUCUGUAGAUCUGCUGCUCCAAAGUCUCUCACAGUGGCUCUUCUUUGGAGGUCACUCUCCAGUUAAGUGGGGGACCAACUGCAAACUUCUCCCAUCAAUAUGAACUGCAAUAUGAUAUUGCAGCAAACAAAACACACACACACACACACACUCUCCCAGAAGCAUUUAACAGGAGAAGUGUGUACCUACACAUUUAGUCCCAAGAUCUCUUUCCAGGCCCUGUCCAGGUUCGUGGUGGAAGCCUGUCCUCUGCACACUGGCUUCCCCAAAUCUUCCCAUAUUCCAGAGCAGGGGAAUCCUUUCUCCAUCUUUUGGCUCAGAUCUACUGCGGAGUGUGGGAGAAAUAUUAAAAGUAAUGAUCCUUGAUGGUUAAAGCUGCCUUAUCAAGUUCCUGCCCCUGGGUUUAAAUAAAGUCUCUUUUUCUGCCAGCUUUAGAUAAGGAUGGAGGGUGAGAGAAACAGACAGAGACAGAAAGAGAGAGAGAAGAAGGGAGAGAGGCAGAGAAGCAAGGACUCUAUAGGGAAAGAAAGAGCUUGGACAUUAAUUCAUUUUAUGAAUAUUUGUUCUACUCUUCUUAAGAACAAGGUUUGUCCCAGGUGCCUUGGGGGCAAGAGAGAAUUUAAGGGGUGGCAAGGGGCCACUGUCCCGCAUCUUGGGGACGUUGUAGGCAGGCAGGUAGAGAUGUGCUAAGGUUCCCGGGUCCUGGAGAUGCCAGGCAAGUUGGAAAAUGCAGAAGAGGAGGCUGGGGUGGACAGGGGUCAUUUUGGCUGAAGCUGGUUAUGAGAGGCUUAGAAGGUGAAAGUGUCUGCUGUGCUGGGCCCUGAAAUGUAGGUCUUCUUGGCCACAGUGGGAAAGGGGAGCCCUAGAGGUCCUUGAACAGUCUGAGUGACAACACCUGGGCUGCCCAGCCCCAAAGGCCAAAACCAAGACACGUCUUUGUCCCAGAGGUUGGGCUUGGUGGCUGCAGCUGUGGAUGCUGACCCUUUCAUGGGCAUGGGGACAGGUGAAAAGCAGGAGCGAGGCAGGCAGGAGUGGGUGCCAGCACCAGCCCACAGCCAUGAGGCCUGUGCCAGGCCAGCCUGUGGGGACACUGGGUCCCCGAGAGAGACAUGGAAGCUCCCGCCAGCAGGAGACUUGAAGGUGGUCAGUUCUGAAGUCCUCUCCUCCUUAGGCCUGGACCUGGGGACACAGGCUCCAGCCAGCAGCAGGAGCCCAUGAAACUCAUUUGUCCCAAUCUUCUUCCCAAGUCUCAACAGCUUUCGGGGGGUUCUGUGACAGAUGCCCCACUUCCAGCUCCACAGCCAGCCCUACGCUAACUCUGACAGAUGAAAGGCCUCAGAAUCCCCUUCUUCAAUUGUACUGCACCCAACUUGUGGAAAGCAAAACAAUAUUAAAAAUACUUUUUAAGAAACUCUAGAAUAUAUUGUCAUCAAAGUGAUCACGGUUCUGCUUAUUUUUGGUCAUCGCAACCAAUGUACUGAGCCCCCUUUGCCCAGACCCUAGCAGGUCCUGAGUCUCAGCGUCCACAAAACGAGGCUAUGGCCCUUGGGGAGUUCCGUGCGGUGCCACAAUUGGCCUCUGAGUUACUCUAGAGUGAUAAACGCAGCCUUGGCAGUAAAAUACCAGAGAGGUAAUGAGUGCGGACUCCGUGCUCCCUCCGCAGGGGCAGGUGCGUGAGGCUCUAGCGCCACCUCGUGGGCCGUGGGAUUCGUGCCCAUCUCCUCCUGGGCGGGAGUUCCUCUGGAGCCAGGAACUCUUUGGGCUCAGGGUGUCUUUUUAGAAAAGCUUCUGACGUUGGUUCUUCUUUAGUGGACCUUCUCCGGUAAAACGGGGUUAACAACUCCAAACUUUUCCCCACCUAAAGGGAUUGAAAGGCUGUUUCAAAGGAAUUAGAGCUCUGAGACUGCAACCCACAAAACACACAAUAGCAUAUACACAGAGAUGCACAUAGAAACAUAGACACACAGGGACACACACCAGAGAUACACACACACACACACACGGACAGGCAGACACAGGGCCACAAACACAUACACAGAGAUACACACAGAAACAUAUACACACAGGGACACACACCAGAGAUACAUACACAGACACACACGGACAGGCAGACACAGGGCCACAAACACAUACACAGAGAUGCACAUAGAAACAUUUACACACAGGGACUCACACCAGAGAUACACACACACACGGACAGGCAGACACAUGGUCACACACACACACACAUACAUACAGUGAUAUUCAACAAGGGAAGGGUGCACCCACAGGCUCAGUCUUGAGACCUCUCUCCAGGCUCCUGGGUGGGUUGGGGAAGCUGAGCCUCCCUGCCUGCUCAUAGCACACAGCCUCCACAAAUCUUGCUCUAUUCCAGAGUGAGAAAGGAACGUUAAAACUGAUGAUCCCUGAUGGCCAAGGCUGCCUUAUCAAGAUCCUGUUCCCGAUUCAAUAAGAAAAGAUGCCUCUUGUGCCAGCAGCAGAUAAGGCUGCAGCCCUGGGCGUUCCCAGGAGAGCGAACAAUGGAAGCCCCCAGGAUGCCUCUAUAUGAGGUAGGAUGGUUACUUGCCCAGUCCCUGCCUGCCAGGCCCUUAUCUGGGAGGCGCUGGUUCGGGUUGCACCCUCCUGUGUUCCUAGCGGGGGCUGCUGCACACCAGGCUUCUGAGGCCUUCCUGGUGGGGGUUGGUGGAAUGGCGGCGGGGGGAGGGUUUUGACGGUGCAUCCUGAAGUGCUCCCUGCACCUUUCCCAGAAAAAGAAAAGGAUGCCAUGAAAACACUUCACCCUAGACAUGGUUUACCCUCGGGAAAGCUGAUGUGAAAGAAGUUCCAGGGGGCCAGGGAUAGAAAAGGAUUUAGAAAGAUGAAGGCAACAGACAAACGACACUUACAAAGUGCCCAAAGUCUGCAAGUCCUGAUAGUCACAGGGAAGGACAUCAGCUGGCGGGAAACCUCACCUUUUAGGCCUGCAUGUCAGUCUUGCACUGCUGAGCUGUGUGACCCUAGGCAGGCUACUUAAACCCUCUGUGCCCUGGCAUCUCCAUCUACAGAAUAAAGCUUCUAACAGCAUAGGCCUCACACACCUGUGUGGAGACCCCAUAAGUCGACAACAUGUGUUUACCCGAGGAAAUAAAUAUGGGUGCCCCUUUAGGCCUGUCCCACAGAGUUAUACAGCUGAAAGACCUCAGAGUAGGUCCACACCCCUUACCAAGUAAUGCAGGCCUUGAUUAAUUGCCACUUGAAGGGAGGUGGGGAGAAAGCACCCUGUCACAUCACAGCUAAAUUUACUAAAAAAGAAACUCUUUGCCCACUUAUCUUUCGAAAGUGCCUCACAGCAGAGACAGCCCCAACCCCUUCCUCUCUCUCCAGCCUCACCUCUCCUCCUAAAAUUCAGUUCCUCCUCACACUCUCAGUGCCUGGCCCCGGCCAUGCAUUAGAUGCCCUGAAGAGCUUUUGAAAAGGACCAAUCCCUGGGCCCUAUCUCAGGUGUGUCUGAGCAUCUGUAGAUUUUAGAAGCUCUGAGGAGGAUUUACAUGCAUUUAGGGUGGAAAUCACUUGUAAGUAAAUUUUUUUAACUGUUCCCUGUUAAAAAAUAUGAACCAAUGGACCAAUGGACCACUUAUGGCUUCUGCUAAUUCUCUUACAUAUGCCCAUGGUACCUUGUUGCAGUAUCAUUUGUAUAAUAAAAAGAUUGGAGCCAACCAGAAAGUCCAUCAAUGGGGGGAAAAUUAAAUAAAAUGUAGUUCAUUCAGCAAUGGAAUACUAUGCAGCUCUGAAAAAUGAAUCAGGAAGCUUUCUAUGAACAGAUGUGGAAAGUCUCCAAUGUAUAGCAUUAAGUGGAAAAAGCAAGACAUAAUGGUAGUGUGCACGUUCUAUAUUACAAAAAAUGUGAAUAAAGGCAGUUUAUAUUCAUGUUUUCUUGGAUAUACAUUUAAAAAACUCUAAAAAGAUACACAAAGAAUGGUCUAGUAGUCAUUAUAGGGGGUCUGGGAAGGCAAGAGAUAAUAUAUCAUAUUUUCAAAUUUUUGAAUUAUGAGAACAUGUCAUUCAUUCAAAAAUUGAAUGUAAAAAGGGUUAAGAAAGAGAAUAAAGCAAGGGCCGGGACACAUCUCCACUGUCUUCCCAUGGCCCUCUCAGAAGUGGAUCACACCUGGUGCUAGGCAGGGGGACAGAAAUUGCUGUGGCCUGAGCAGAGCCUGGGUCCAGCCAGCAUCUACACAGCCCACGUCCUCCCAGGGGAAUUUCUCUGUGCUCUGUUUUGAGGGGAUGGUCCUGGUACUGGAGUAGCAGAGCCAGGUCCCUGCUUCUUGCAUAACCCUGAGGCUGCCCUGUUUGCUCUUCUUGUGUGGAGGGCAUUGGCAGAGGCCUCUGGCCUGUAGAACCUUUGUGAGCUGAGCCACAACUCACUUCGAGCUGUUCUCUGCCCUGGCUUUGCUACCCUGAGGUCUCCAGUGCCAUCCACACCUUCCGUCUGCCACUGCCAACAGCCACAGGUGAUGGAUGGGGACCAUAAUGUGAGAGGAGAAUUGUGUACUGGAAAUCAGCAUGAAGGGAUAUCCAAAGACCUGGAGAAACCCAAAUCACAUGGGGAUGGGAGAGUGAAGACCCAAGGGAGGGAUGUGCGGCAAGACCUGCUCUGAGCUCUGAGGGUGCAGAUGUAAUCAAGACUGAGUGCUGCCCCACCAGACCUGUAGACGAACUCUCCUUCUGGUGAGGCAGUGAACCUGCAAGCACGGGAAGGUGGUGGUGGGUUGGGUGCCAUGGAGGAAAUGAGGAAGCAGGAGAUACACUGGGGGCCAGGUGGGGUUGCAGGUCUCAGCAGGGUGGGGCUGAGGUGGUGAUGGGUGAGGGAGUGAGCUGUGGAGUAUCCAGACAGGGAAAGCAGCAAGUGCAAAGGUGCUGGGACAGGAGUGGAUUUUGCGGGUCUGCAGGGCAGUCGGUGUACUGGGAGUGGAGUGGAUGAGGUAGGACAUGGAGGCUACAGAGUCUCAGAACCCGUCAGAGGCUGGUGUGCAGUCAGGUUCUGCAGGGCAUUGUUGGCCACUAGGAGGAUUACAACUUUUUCUCUUACCCCAAGUGGACUUGAAACCAUUGGAGGGUCUGAGGGAAGAGUGAUAUGGUCAGAUGAAGUUUUUAAAUCAUGUAUUUAAUUAUUCUAGUUGAUGUGUAGAGAAUGGAAUUGGUGAGGGAGGAGAGAGUAGAAGUAGGGGGACAAGUUAGGACUGAUGGGAGAUUGAGUUGCUCCUUGGCCGUCACAGGAUUCUGCAUCCUCUGCCUUUACCAUGGGCCUUGCCUGCCUCUCCCAGGGACAGAGUGUACCCCUCCAACCUUAUUGACUGCGCAUUUGGCCAUGUGACUUGCUUUGCCUCGAGGGACAUGAGCAAAGGCCACAUCUGAGCAGAAGUUUUGAGGGCCAUUGCCUGGUUGGCUCUUGCUUUUUUCCCUCUGCUCUGAGAAGAGGCAUUUCCAACAGGGGGUACCCUCCAGUCCAGGUCCUAGAAUGGGAAAGCCUAUGGAGCAGGGCUGCCACCGUGGCACACAGCCAUGACAGAGGUGGGAGUGAGAAUGAGAUGGCUGUCGUCGUAAGCCUUGGAGAUGUGGAGAGUGCUGACCGACACAGGGGCCCUUGGGGUACCAGACUACAGAGGCACUGCUGGAACGGUGUGAGGUGAGUUGACUUUGUAAUGUUUUCUGAACAGCAGAGCUACCCAAAUUGGAGUUUGAUGUAUGGCAUUAGGGAGAGUUUGAUUUGGUUUAGGGAUAUGUUAAGUUCGAGAUACUCAUUAGACAUCUAGGUAGAGGCUGGAGUUCCUGGAAAAUGUCAACUACAGGUACAACUUGGAGUCAUCGUCUCACAUUUGCAAACUCAAUAUAUGCAAAUGGUAUGAAAAGUCAUGAGGCUAUACGUGAUCAACCAGAGAGAGGGUGUAGAAAGAGGUGUCUUCUUAGGACCUGGGGCACUCCAGCAUGUGCAGAAUGGAGAUCUCAAAGGGCGAGUGAGCACUGACCUGGUGGUGGCAUAGGCAGGUGCAUGUCAGGGAGAGAGAACCUGUGUGCAAAUACAAGGAAGGUGAGUGACAUGGUUUGGCUGUGUCCCCACCAAAAUCUCAUCUUGAAUUGUAGCUCCCAUAAUUCCCACAUGUUGUGGGAGAGGGCAGGUGGGACAUACUUGAAUCAUGGGGGCAGUUCUCGUGGUGGUGAAUAAGUCUCGCGAGAUCUACUGGUUUUAUAAGGGGAAACUCCUUUUGCUUGGCUCUCGUUCUGUCUUUGCUGGCUGCCAGGUAAGAUGUGCCUUUUGCCUUCCAUCAUAAUUGUGAAGCCUCCCCAGCCACUUGGAACUGUGAAUCCAUUAAACCUCUUUUCCUUUUAUAAAUUACCCAGUCUUGGGUGUCUUUAUCAGCAGCAUGAAAACGGACUAAUACAGUGAGAGAGCAUGACACCUUCAAGAAGGGGGCAGAGGACAAACUCUCCAGCCUGCCUGGGCUCAUGCCCAGCACUGUGGCCCUUCUCUAUCCAGGAGCCUUCCCUGUCAUUAUGCACACCCUCAGUCACUGUCCUCUGCUUGGCAGCACCUCUCUGGACUCACGGUUUGUGGACCAGUUUGUUCUCAUUAAUCCCACGACUUAAAUUUCUAGCACCCAUGACACACAACCUUUCCCUCUCCUAACUCAACCCCUUUGUCACUUUCCCCCACUUCUGACGUAAAGGUAACCCAUCUUCCCCAAUUACAAUUUCUUGUGGCCCAGCCUUGCCCCAGUACCAAUUUUUAGGAGAUGAUUUUUGUCACCAUAGGUUUUAUUUUACUGUGAAAGGCAUAAGAUUUGUUUGGGGCUCUUCUCUCUCUAUGUCCACCUUCCCUGCCCUCAAGUUCACCAUGCUCCCCCAGCAUGAUCUCCAGUCUUCCCUAAUGGCUGUUGGCUCCACUUCCCUCCAGCACUCUAAGAGUUAUCAGCCUGCAGAAUUAUGAGCUGCUCAGGUCACCCUACAGCAAGUCACUCCUCCCACCCAGAUCAUUCUCCCUCAACCCAUCAGAGCAAUCCCUGGAAAACAGGAAGGUGGCCCUUCACUCCCUCCCCUGCCACACUCCCGCCUGGUAAUUCCACCAUGGCUGCUUUCAGCCUCACAGGGACCUCAAGUCCCUGGAUACUUCCAUCCAUGCCAUGAUGUCUGGAACUCUCAAGAAAUAUUUUGGACAGUUUAUCUGCCUGCUCUUGGAUUUAUUGAGCAGGGAAGAAACUCUGUAAGUUCACAUAUCUCUACUCUAUCCCUGACAAUUUUUUCUGGGACUGGAGAGGAACCAGAAAGGGAAUGGAGUUGGGGAUUGAGGAAAGAGGGGAGAAACAAGAGAAGGGAAUACCUUGGGCAGCUGGGCAAGAAGAAACAAAGCCACACCAUCCAGAGACAGGGAUUUUGGAAUAACUGCAAAGUCACAAAAGUAUUGGGAAGAUGACUUAAUGCCCUUGAAUUCAAGUCCUCAGACAUACACAGAUAUUGUGGUGAUCAUCAUAGCAAAGCUAGCCUUCCCAGGAAAGAGAAUGCCAGAGGUUUUCCUCAGAGGAGGCAUAGAAUUAGCCUAGCCAGUGACCAGUUAGCCAGUGACCAGUUAAAGGACAAGUGUUGACUUUGACUUUACCCCAGUCCACUCACGCUGCCACCCCCAUGCCCUACAGACCCAGCCAUGUCCUUGUGUAAAGCACACCAGGAGACACCAAAGGUAUCACAGAGCAGGUCCAAGUGGGACAUGGGUUCUGAAACCUUAAUGCAAACCAAUGGCAUGCUGGUAUCUGAUCCCACCAUGACCUUCAUCUCGAGAAAGGUGCCACGAGGCUGUUUCUUGAAAGGAAGUUUUGUUGACCUGGUUCCUAUACUGAAUAUGACCACUCACUACCUGGAUUUCUUUAGCCAUUUGGAAUAGGAGCAAGACCACAAGCGCUCAUUACCUUCCUGCAUGAAAUUACAUCUCCUGGGAGGAAGAGAGCCAUAAACAUCAAGGUGGGUGUCACCUGGUCUUAAUUUCUUGGCUUCAUUAGAAAAAUCUGAGAACUUGGAAUGACAUACCCACAGAGAACAUUUGGGUUUACAUAAACUAGUAUAUCCUUCAUGUAUAAAUACAUAGUUUAAUGUAAAAGAAUUGUGGGCCCAAACCAACAGUUUUAGGGUAUUUAAUUAGGAUAUUAUUCAAUAAGCACAAACGGCUCUUCCUAGGUCGGUAUUUGAUUCACCACUGAAAAAUUUGAAACUAGGAAGCAAAUCUCUAGAGAAGUUGCAUUUAUUAUUUUGGAGUAAUGGUAAACUUUGGGGAUUUGAUGAAAACGAUGGGCCAUCUCAUCAUAAAAAUUCACACAUACAAACAUUUUUUUCUAUGCAAUUUAGAGGGUACCCAGCCCUAGCUAAGAAUCUCUGAUCUAUUGAUUAAAAUUCUAAAAUAACUAAAAUAAUAUGCAUUUAUUUAUUUAUUUAUUUAUUUUGAGAUGGAGUCUUGCUCUGUUGCACAGGCUGGAGUGCAAUGGCACGAUCUUGGCUC